This 426-nucleotide ribosomal RNA is filed under the name uncultured bacterium. Its description in RNAcentral is "bacterial SSU rRNA". It matches the Rfam family "Bacterial small subunit ribosomal RNA", at positions 28 to 496 of the family's 1533-position model. The record is from RNAcentral.
GAUGAACGCUAGCGGCAGGCCUAACACAUGCAAGUCGAGGGGUAGAGUUCUUCGGGUCUAGUGGCGCACGGGUGCGUAACGCGUGGGAAUCUGCCCUUAGGUUCGGAAUAACUUCGGGAAACUGAAGCUAAUACCGGAUGAUGACGUAAGUCCAAAGAUUUAUCGCCUAAGGAUGAGCCCGCGUUGGAUUAGCUAGUUGGUGAGGUAAAGGCUCACCAAGGCGACGAUCCAUAGCUGGUCUGAGAGGAUGAUCAGCCACAUUGGGACUGAGACACGGCCCAAACUCCUACGGGAGGCAGCAGUGGGGAAUAUUGGACAAUGGGCGCAAGCCUGAUCCAGCCAUGCCGCGUGAGUGAUGAAGGCCCUAGGGUUGUAAAGCUCUUUCACCGGUGAAGAUAAUGACGGUAACCGGAGAAGAAGCCCGGC